Long non-coding RNA from Oncorhynchus tshawytscha (Chinook salmon), 1237 nucleotides. The record is from Ensembl. NCBI's taxonomy places the organism in Eukaryota, Metazoa, Chordata, Actinopteri, Salmoniformes, Salmonidae.
AGUGGUGGAGAGGAGGGGAGGGUUGAGGGGUGGCGGAGAGGAGAGAAGGGUUGAGGGGUGGUGGAGAGGAGAGGAGGGUUGAGGGGUGGUGGAGAGGAGAGGAGGGUUGAGGGGUGGCGGAGAGAAGAGAAGGGUUGAGGGGUGGCGGAGAGGAGAGGAGGGUUGAGGGGUGGUGGAGAGGAGAGAGAAGGGUUGAGGGGUGGCGGAGAGGAGAGAAGGUUUGAGGAGUGGCGGAGAGGAGAGAAGGGUUGAGGGGUGGCGGAGAGGAGAGGAAGGUAGAGGGGUGGCAGAGAGGAGAGGAGGGUUGAGGAGUGGAGGAGAGAAGAGAAGGGUUGAGGGGUGGCGGAGAGGAGAGGAGGGUUGAGGGGUGGCGGAGAGGAGAGAAGGGUUGAGGGGUGGCGGAGAGGAGAGAAGGUUUGAGGAGUGUCGGAGAGGAGAGAAGGGUUGAGGGGUGGCGGAGAGGAGAGGAAGGUAGAGGGGUGGCAGAGAGGAGAGGAGGGUUGAGGAGUGGCGGAGAGGAGGAGGAGGGUUGAGGGCUGGCGGAGAGGAGAGAAGGGUUGAGGGGUGGUGGAGAGGAGGGUUGAGGGGUGGUGGAGAGAAGAGAAGGGUUGAGGGGUGGCGGAGAGGAGAGGAGGGUUGAGGGGUGGCGGAGAGGAGAGAAGGGUUGAGGGGUGGCGGAGAGGAGAGAAGGGUUGAGGGGUUGCGGAGAGAACAGGAGGGUUGAGGGGUGGCGGAGAGGAGAGGAGGGUUGAGGGGUGGCGGAGAGGAGAGGAGGGUUGAGGAGUGGCGGAGAGGAGAGGAGAGGAGGUUUGAGGAGUGGCGGAGAGGAGAGGAGAGAAGGGUUGAGGGGUGGCGGAGAGGAGAGGAGGGUUGAGGGGUGGCGGAGAGGAGAGGAGGGUUGAGGAGUGGCGGAGAGGAGGGUUGAGGAGUGGCGGAGAGGAGAGGAGGGUUGAGGGGUGGCGGAGAGGAGAGGAGGGUUGAGGGGUGGCGGAUAGGAGAGGAGGGUUGAGGAGUGGCGGAGAGGAGAGGAGAGGAGGUUUGAGGAGUGGCGGAGAGGAGAGGAGAGAAGGGUUGAGGGGUGGCGGAGAGGAGAGGAGGGUUGAGGGGUGGCGGAGAGGAGAGAAGGGUCAAGGGGUGGCGGAGAGGAGAGAAGGGUUGAGGGGUGGCGGAGAGGAGAGGAGGUGUGAGGAGUGGCGGAGAGGAGAGGAGGGUUGAGGGGUGGCGGAGAGGAGAGGAG